AUCCCUGUGAAUAUGCCCUCAAUCCCCUGCCCGGGGAUAAGGAGCGGGCAUCAGGCACAAAAUUUAGCCCAAGACGCCUAGCCAAGCCACACCCCCAAGGGAAUUCAGCAGUGAUAAACAUUAAGCCAUAAGUGAAAACUUGACUCAGUCAGGGCUAAAAGGGCCGGUAAAACUCGUGCCAGCCACCGCGGUUAAACGAGAGGCCCUAGUUGAUAAUAUUACGGCGUAAAGGGUGGUUAAGGAAAACAAAUUAAUAAAGCCAAAUGGCCCUUUGGCCGUCAUACGCUCCUAGGUGUCCGAAGCCCAAUUUUACGAAAGUAGCUUUAACAAAAUUAACCUGACCCCACGAAAGCUGAGAAACAAACUGGGAUUAGAUACCCCACUAUGCUCAGCCAUAAACCUAGACGCCCUAGUACAAUAGGCGUCCGCCAGGGUACUACGAGCAUCAGCUUGAAACCCAAAGGACCUGACGGUGCCUUAGACCCCCCUAGAGGAGCCUGUUCUAGAACCGAUAACCCCCGUUAAACCUCACCACUUCUAGCCAUCCCAGCCUAUAUACCGCCGUCGCCAGCUUACCCUGUGAAGGCACCAAAAGUAAGCAAAAUGGGCACAACCCAGAACGUCAGGUCGAGGUGUAGCGUACGAAGUGGGAAGAAAUGGGCUACAUUUUCUAUUAUAGAAUAUUACGAAUCAUACAACAUGAAAUAGUGCUUGAAGGAGGAUUUAGUAGUAAAAAGGAAGCAGAGUGUCCUUUUGAACCCGGCUCUAAGGCGCGUACACACCGCCCGUCACUCUCCCCUGUCAAAACGCAGUAACGCUACAUAACACAAAAGCACUGACAAGGGGAGGCAAGUCGUAACAUGGUAAGUGUACCGGAAGGUGCACUUGGAUUAAACU
RNAcentral lists this non-coding RNA (897 nucleotides) under Pseudorasbora parva (stone moroko). RNAcentral describes it as "partial 12S ribosomal RNA". It matches the Rfam family "Bacterial small subunit ribosomal RNA", at positions 194 to 1533 of the family's 1533-position model. The record is from RNAcentral. Lineage: Eukaryota; Metazoa; Chordata; Actinopteri; Cypriniformes; Gobionidae.